RNAcentral lists this ribosomal RNA (570 nucleotides) under Aureobasidium namibiae. RNAcentral describes it as "partial large subunit ribosomal RNA". It matches the Rfam family "Eukaryotic large subunit ribosomal RNA", at positions 72 to 657 of the family's 3401-position model. The record is from RNAcentral. Lineage: Eukaryota; Fungi; Ascomycota; Dothideomycetes; Dothideales; Saccotheciaceae.
GGAUUGCCCUAGUAACGGCGAGUGAAGCGGCAACAGCUCAAAUUUGAAAGCUAGCCUUCGGGUUCGCAUUGUAAUUUGUAGAGGAUGCUUUGGGUAAAACGCCAGUCUAAGUUCCUUGGAACAGGACGUCAUAGAGGGUGAGAAUCCCGUAUGUGACUGGAAAUGUUAACCUAUGUAAAGCUCCUUCGACGAGUCGAGUUGUUUGGGAAUGCAGCUCUAAAUGGGAGGUAAAUUUCUUCUAAAGCUAAAUAUUGGCGAGAGACCGAUAGCGCACAAGUAGAGUGAUCGAAAGAUGAAAAGCACUUUGGAAAGAGAGUUAAAAAGCACGUGAAAUUGUUGAAAGGGAAGCGCUUGCAAUCAGACUUGUUUAAACUGUUCGGCCGGUCUUCUGACCGGUUUACUCAGUUUGGACAGGCCAGCAUCAGUUUCGGCGGCCGGAUAAAGGCUCUGGGAAUGUGGCCUCCACUUCGGUGGAGGUGUUAUAGCCCAGUGUGUAAUACGGCCAGCCGGGACUGAGGUCCGCGCUUCGGCUAGGAUGCUGGCGUAAUGGUUGUAAGCGACCCGUCUUGA